UGGGCGGGAAUCAGAGACCUUUAAAGUCCUUUAUCAUCGGUUGGGAAUGGGAAGUCAGUUUCUUGCACAUUUUUGGCUCCCAAUGUCUUCCAUUGCUUGUUAACACCAACCACGCCACUUUGUUGUCGUCGGCGAGCGUGCACGCUGCAGAAGGAAUACGGGACAGCUGCCAUUCCUGGAGGCUGGAAGGUUCAUUGGACAGGACACCUGCACAGCCGUAUUGCUGGCGGCUACGGUAAAGGUGUCCACCCUACUUUGUGGGGAUGCUACACUGAGCCUUAUUGCUGAAAGUCUUCCGAGUAGUUUUGAAACACAACACAAGAUGGAGGAGGAUGUGAGUGUGAUCGAUCUUCUCAGGGUCUUGCUGCAGGAGGUGCGAGAUGUGAAGCAGGAGGUGAGAGAGUUGAAGAGCAAGCUCGAGAACUCAUCUGAAUGUACAGAGUCGAUUAUUGAAAACCCUUUUGAUGAACUGAAGUCUUUUGGCUUUAAAGCUACAUCACUGGAAGAAAGAACGAGAACAUGAUUUGCUUUUUCAUGUCCCGUGCCACUUGACUGAACAUCUGAUGUUGAUAACAGCAGAUUAUUGGCUACUCGAACGGGAGAAGCAGUUCUCGGAAGGAUGUGAAAAUUCUAAGAAGAACAGGAACGACCUCCUUAAGAUCCUCAUUGAGUUAGCUCCCAAGCCUAAGAAGAAUGCUAAAGUAGCUGCUCUGGAUAUAGUUAGGUCGAUAAUGCAAAGAUUAGCUGAUGAUUCAGUAUGGCAAUAUGUUAGCGCUUUUGGGAAGUCAGGCACAAAAAAGCUGUCAAUGUGCAAAAUGAUGCCUUCAAUUAUGGAUACAGUACUCUUAACAACAAUAAAAACCCUUUCAGUUGAUACUAAAGAGGCAUCAACUGCUCUUUCAACAUAUUUAAAAAAUACUGCUACAAGGGCAGCAGCAAAGAAGCACAAAUUUGAACAUGGAAGAGCCAUACUUCAGAUUGGUAACAGUGUACAUGAGGAAACAUUCCAGUCUGCAAACUCUGUCCAAAGUUCAUCACAACAUGCAGCUGAUGAGGUUAGAGUCUGAUGCAGCACAUGAUUCAGAUUUGGCCUGAAACCAAAUUUGUGGCUAAAAUAAUUUUAUGCAUGUGUUCUUUAUUGAGUGUUAUAUAAGCACUGGUCUCCACUGUCAGUGUCAACUAAGUACAACACAUGCAAAAUAACACAAAACUUUCUUUUGCUAGCAUCAUAAAUAAUU
Molecule: long non-coding RNA, 1238 nt
Organism: Eriocheir sinensis (Chinese mitten crab)
Lineage: Eukaryota; Metazoa; Arthropoda; Malacostraca; Decapoda; Varunidae
Exons: 5
Source: RefSeq, a predicted model, not a curated record